This 624-nucleotide ribosomal RNA is filed under the name uncultured Actinomycetes bacterium. Its description in RNAcentral is "uncultured actinobacterium partial 16S ribosomal RNA". The record is from RNAcentral. Lineage: Bacteria; Bacillati; Actinomycetota; Actinomycetes.
GAUAGUCGAACAACCACCCCAUUACCGGAUGGUUCCGCUGCUGCCCAUCGGCUGGACUCUCCCACUAGCCGGUGUGACCCUGACUCUGUGCCGGGUCUGAGGAUGCCCUCCGUCGUCACCCCUUAUAACGUGUUACCCGCGUUCGGACUACGUCGCUGCGGCGCACCCCCUACUGCCGGAAGCCCAACAUUUGGAGAAAGUGGUCCCUGCUUCGCACUCACUGCCAUGGACCUCUUUUUCGUGGCCGGUUGAUGCACGGUCGUCGGCGCCAUUAUGCAUCCCACGCUCGCAACAGGCCUUAAUGACCCGCAUUUCUCGAGCAUCCGCCAAACAGCGCAGCAGACACUUUAAGACGUUGAGUUAACAUCCGCACGUCCGCUAUGCCCGUCUGAACUCAUGAUGUCCCCUCUGACCUUAAGGACCACAUCGCCACUUUACGCGUCUAUAGUCCUCCUUGUGGCCACCGCUUCCGCCCAGAGACCCAUCAUUGACUGCGACUCCUCGCUUUCGCACCCCUCGCUUGUCCUAAUCUAUGGGACCAUCAGGUGCGGCAUUUGCCACCCAUGAUCCACACCCUGAGAAAAGUGCCCAAGGCACGGCAUCGAUUGCGUAAUUCAUGGGGCG